Long non-coding RNA from Gadus morhua (Atlantic cod), 629 nucleotides. The record is from Ensembl. NCBI's taxonomy places the organism in Eukaryota, Metazoa, Chordata, Actinopteri, Gadiformes, Gadidae.
GCUCAACAGGAUGCUGGAUCCAUGGCUUGUCAUAGGUCACCCCAAAGGACUUCCACAUUGCUCUAUUGGGGCUCCCCAUGUCUGUGGUGAUGUUCAGUACAUGAAGCCCUACAGAUGCCGCUGCUUCAACAAUGUUGAUUAUGAUGGGCCGGUAAACUGCUCCAUUGGUGGAAUUGCCACUAUAGUGGCAGUGUGACAUUGCCAAAUAGCCUCCCCGUUCCCAAAUGGAGCUCCACGCCUGGAGUAAUGGACAUCUCAUCUAAGCGUCCGGAUGUUGGGCAGCGGAAUAUGCAUUCGCUGGAGGGUUUUGUAACCAGUGGUGCCAGCAGUAAAUUUAACCUUUGCCUUAUUAGGUCCUCCACAGUCGCCCCAUCAGUCCCUGGCGGUCUGGUCCCUGGCGGUCUGGUCCCUGGCGGUCUGGUCCCUGGAGCAGCUGGCCCUGGAGCAGAUGGUCCUGGCAAAGUUAUAACUUCACUGUUGACCCCUGACUGACUGGCCCUCGGCACACACAUCCCUGGAUCACCUGCCCCUGGAUCACCUGCCACUGAAUCACCUGCCACUGGCAAUGUGGCCUCUUGAUUUCUCUCUCUGUCUCCUGGCAUGUCCCUUUCGAUGCUCUUAAAAUCCAC